GACGAACGCUGGCGGCGUGCUUAACACAUGCAAGUCGAACGGUAAGGCUCCAGCUUGCUGGGGUACACGAGUGGCGAACGGGUGAGUAACACGUGGGUGACCUGCCCUGCACUUCGGGAUAAGCCUGGGAAACUGGGUCUAAUACCGGAUAGGACCGCACCGUGAGGGUGUGGUGGAAAGUUUUUUCGGUGUGGGAUGGGCCCGCGGCCUAUCAGCUUGUCGGUGGGGUAAUGGCCUACCAAGGCGGCGACGGGUAGCCGGCCUGAGAGGGUGGACGGCCACAUUGGGACUGAGACACGGCCCAGACUCCUACGGGAGGCAGCAGUGGGGAAUAUUGCACAAUGGGCGGAAGCCUGAUGCAGCGACGCCGCGUGGGGGAUGACGGCCUUCGGGUUGUAAACUCCUUUCACCAUCGACGAAGGGUUUCUGACGGUAGAUGGAGAAGAAGCACCGGCUAACUACGUGCCAGCAGCCGCGGUAAUACGUAGGGUGCGAGCGUUGUCCGGAAUUACUGGGCGUAAAGAGCUCGUAGGUGGUUUGUCGCGUCGUCUGUGAAAUUCCGGGGCUUGACUCCGGGCGUGCAGGCGAUACGGGCAUAACUUGAGUACUGUAGGGGAGACUGGAAUUCCUGGUGUAGCGGUGAAAUGCGCAGAUAUCAGGAGGAACACCGGUGGCGAAGGCGGGUCUCUGGGCAGUAACUGACGCUGAGGAGCGAAAGCAUGGGGAGCGAACAGGAUUAGAUACCCUGGUAGUCCAUGCCGUAAACGGUGGGCGCUAGGUGUGGGUUUCCUUCCACGGGAUCCGUGCCGUAGCUAACGCAUUAAGCGCCCCGCCUGGGGAGUACGGCCGCAAGGCUAAAACUCAAAGGAAUUGACGGGGGCCCGCACAAGCGGCGGAGCAUGUGGAUUAAUUCGAUGCAACGCGAAGAACCUUACCUGGGCUUGACAUAUACAGGAUCGCGCCAGAGAUGGUGUUUCCCUUGUGGCUUGUAUACAGGUGGUGCAUGGUUGUCGUCAGCUCGUGUCGUGAGAUGUUGGGUUAAGUCCCGCAACGAGCGCAACCCUUGUCUUAUGUUGCCAGCACGUUGUGGUGGGGACUCGUAAGAAACUGCCGGGGUUAACUCGGAGGAAGGUGGGGAUGACGUCAAAUCAUCAUGCCCCUUAUGUCCAGGGCUUCACACAUGCUACAAUGGUCGGUACAGUGGGUUGCCAGUCCGUGAGGGCGAGCUAAUCCCGCAAAGCCGGUCUCAGUUCGGAUCGGGGUCUGCAACUCGACCCCGUGAAGUCGGAGUCGCUAGUAAUCGCAGAUCAGCAACGCUGCGGUGAAUACGUUCCCGGGCCU
This 1341-nucleotide ribosomal RNA is filed under the name uncultured bacterium. Its description in RNAcentral is "partial 16S ribosomal RNA". It matches the Rfam family "Bacterial small subunit ribosomal RNA", at positions 28 to 1381 of the family's 1533-position model. The record is from RNAcentral.